Molecule: antisense RNA, 75 nt
Filed under: Streptomyces katrae
Lineage: Bacteria; Bacillati; Actinomycetota; Actinomycetes; Kitasatosporales; Streptomycetaceae
Description: ASpks sRNA
Rfam family: ASpks TB sRNA
Source: RNAcentral
CUUGAGGGAGCCCAGCCGCAGCGGCUCGCCGCCCGCGCGGCCCUGCCCGUACGUGGCGAGCAGCGCCUGCGCCUC